This 68-nucleotide transfer RNA is filed under the name Lachnospiraceae bacterium A4. It matches the Rfam family "tRNA". Rfam says of the family: Transfer RNA (tRNA) molecules are approximately 80 nucleotides in length. The record is from Rfam by way of RNAcentral. Lineage: Bacteria; Bacillati; Bacillota; Clostridia; Lachnospirales; Lachnospiraceae.
CUUCGUAGCUCAUCUGGUAGAGCAAUUUGUUUGGGACAAAUUUGUAGCUGGUUCGAAUCCAGUCGAAG